GAACCAAAACGCCGUUAAGUGUUNCCCCGCCUUGGGGAGUANCGGCCANCAGCCAAAGUUGUUGAAACUCCAAAAGGAAAUUUGAACGGGGGCCCCGGCACCAAACCGGUUGGAAGUAAUGCGUGGGCUUUUAAUUUCCGAAUGGCCAAACCGCGGAAAGAAACCUUUACCAGGGGGAUUGGACAAUCCCUUACGAAUUCUCUUUUGGAAAGGAAGAGAGUGCCUUUCGGGAAACGUAGAGACAGGUGGUGCAUGGCUGUCGUCAGCUCGUGUCGUGAGAUGUUGGGUUUAAGUCCCGCAACGAGCGCAACCCUCGUCCUUAGUUGCCAUCAUUAAGUUGGGCACUUUAGGGAGACUGCCGGUGACAAACCGGAGGAAGGUGGGGAUGACGUCAAGUCAUCAUGCCCCUUACAUCCUGGGCUACACACGUACUACAAUGCAACGGACAAAGGGCAGCCAACUAGCGAUAGUGAGCUAAUCCCAUAAACCGUUGCUCAGUUCAGAUUGCAGGCUGCAACUCGCCUGCAUGAAGGCGGAAUCGCUAGUAAUCGCAGGUCAGCAUACUGCGGUGAAUACGUUCCCGGGCCUUGUACACACCACCCGUCACACCAUGGAAGUUGGCCACGCCCGAAGUCGUUACCCCAACCGUUUACGGAGGGGGACGCCGAAGGCAGGGCUGAUGACUGGGGUGAAGUCGUAACAAGGUAGCCGUACCGGAAGGUGCGGCUGGAUCACCUCCUU
Molecule: ribosomal RNA, 741 nt
Filed under: uncultured bacterium
Lineage: Bacteria
Description: bacterial SSU rRNA
Rfam family: Bacterial small subunit ribosomal RNA
Source: RNAcentral